CCCACCGGGUGAAAAGAAGAAAUGAGACAGCUCCUGUGCUCUUGGUAGGCCAAACUGGAGCUCCAGGCACUUUGGCUUCCACUUUGGGGGUCUGGCAGCUUUAGUAACAUCAAGCAAAUAGCCCGUGAACUCCAUCGAUUGUUAGCCCCCGAUUUAAACCCAAGGCCAUCUGGUUCUGAAGCCGCUCCCCCCAGGCUGCCUCCAGCAGGACAAGUGGUCAAGGCAGGAAACCAGUGGCCCUUGGUGACAGCCCCACUGCCCAGAGCAACAGACUGUGGUCAGAAUCUGCAGCAACCACAAGAGGCCUGUUCUUCCUUCCCUCUUCCAUGCUGGGAGUGUGGGUUCCUGUCCUCCAGCAGAUAGACCUGGUGAAAUUGCACAUUUGUUGUGCAGAGUUCUUUAAAGCGAGAAAUCACUCAAAGGCCAAAUGAGAUUGCCAACCAGGGGUGUUGUCUGAAAAUAGGGCCUUAGGGUCUUGGCUGCUCUGCUUAUCCUGCAGAGAGGAGGAAGACACAGCUUUGAGACAGAGCAAAUGCACAGAUUUUGGGGGAUCAGAGUCUAUCCCCUCACCCGGCCUUUCUAAUGAUUCAAUUUGGCCUAUUGAAUCUUGUGAGACUCCCUUGAGUUCAUCAAUUUGGUGUCCUUCUUAAUAGGAAAGAAAAAUAGGGAUCACUUUAUGGCUAAAAGACUUGCUCUUUUAAAGCCAGGUCUAGUUAAAGAUGAACAACUCGAAGGGCAUGACUGCUUUCUGGCCCUUAGUGCUACAAUGUCUGAGGUUGUCGGUUGUUUCAGUGGAGGUCAGCGAAGGCCAAACAAAGCAGGGGAGGCCAAGCUGCUCCAAGGAGGAUUUAGAUCUCAAUAUGUUAAAGAGAGCCAUUUCUGUGCUGACCUGCUCUUUGGCCAGCAACUCCUUUUGGUUACAUGGUCUAGAAAAUAUUUUAAAAUGUGAAGACUUGGCAUAGGGAUACCUUUGCAUGCUUCUCCUUGGUCCGCCUCACAGUCACUCUCCCGAGAAGGGUUCCUUAGGAUGUGCCUUCUGCACCUCUGUAACUGGGGUCCAGCACGUCCCUGGCGGUCCUAACAGGCUCAUUAAGCUAACGAGCAAGUGAGUACAGAAAACGACUGCUCUUUUUGGCAGCGCAUCCCACUAUUAGAGCGCAGGCAGAUGGAGCAGACCUGUUUGGUUUUUAAUUCAGUUCCAAGAAAUUGUCCAAGUCCGAGAAGAUGAAGAUGUAAGGGUCCACCCUGGCUUCAGGCUCUGAGGGAAGUGGUCUUCACUCCACUCUGGGAACUGUCUUUUUGAGUGGUCCUUGGCCUCACGGUGGGUCACAGGCCACCAAUGGAGAGGUCUCGGCUGGAUCCUGUUGGCUCAGUGAACCCAAACUUCCAUUCUAGACUUCCCUGGUUGGACUUCCAGGUUCACAGCCUGGUGCUGGAAUCAAGUGCUGCUGGCCUCAGAGACCCGUGGCUGCUUUCCUGACAUGCACACAGUGACACCCCUGUAACUUGCAAGUCAGAUUUAUCAAGAUCAAAAAAAAAAAUCUUGCUCUGCUCAAAUGACCCAGACUCUUGGAGGUGUGAUUCUCUAUACAGUAUAAACUCGGUUACAGUUUUGACUGCAAGGAUGCAAGAGAAAGCAUCUAGACAGUUUCAUGGUGGCCCUGUCCUAUUAACCCCAGCUCCUCAGCUCUUUCCUUAGUCCCCAGCUCUUGUCUUUCCUUUUCAUUACUCUGUCAUGGCACAAGGACAAUUGGGAUGACUGAAGAAGUCUUUGGUUUGCAUACAGGCCGGUGCUCCAUGGCUGCACCAUUUUGCUGCUUUGCCCAUGGAACGAUGGUUUUGAACAAAUCUGUUUUACCACUAGCAAGCUCUGCAGACCCAAGCAUGAUACAGCCCAUUGCUGUACAAUCUUCUGGAUCAUUUAAAAUAAUUCUUUCUGUAUGGUCUCUUUGUUCGUAUGGUUUUCAUGUAAUGGAUUUAUUUUGUCUUUAUUUUAUGCAUGAGUGUUUUGCUUGCUUGCGUGUCUGGGCAGGUGGCUUGUGCCUGGUGUCCACAGAAGAUGGAAGAGGGUGUCAGAUCCCCUAGAACUAGGGCUGUCGACAGUUGAGAAUCAUAAUGUGGGUGCUGGGAUUAGAACCUGGGUCCUCUGGAAGAGAAGCCAAUGCUCUUAACCACUGAGCCAUCUCUCCAGGCCCGACCUAGUGGAUUUUUUAUUCUGGCAUUUCGAAGGUGUUUUUUUUUUUUUUUUUUGUUCUAUUUUAAUAGCCCAGUGGGUUGGGUUGAGCUUUUAAAACCUCACACUGCAGUUAUAUGUAUACCAUUAGAAAUUUCAAACAUGAGCAACAGUGAAGAGAAUAAGUAUGGGGCAGAGAACAAGGAUCAGAACAAGGCUGGUUCACUCAGCUUUGUUGGAACAACCAACAGCAAAGUGAUGGACCAGCAUGCCUGUCAGGCCCCUGAGGGCUGCCUGGAAGGGGUGGAAUUCCUUCAGGACCAGAGUCAGAAGCCAGCCCAAAUGCUCAAUCUUGGUGGUCUUCUGAGCUGGCUGCCCCUGAGUCCCAGGCCGUGUGGAUUCUGUGUUGCCUAUAGUGAGAUCCCAGGGGAGACUGAAGAAGGACCAGGAGGUUAGACCCUGUGGCUGUCUAAGCACCUGGUACCCAAGGAAACAGUCUGAGUUCGGCCCCAUUCAGACAUGAAUAUGGCCCCUGAUUUAGGAUGGUUGACUUCAGUGGGGUUUCACCUUCGAAACUGAUCUUCACUCAGUGGAAGCCAGCCUCAACUUGAGAGCGCUGAUAUUUUUCUGGGUUAACCACAUGUGAUGGGUGGUCCCAUCCUCUCUCAGCAGCCACUGAGAAGCAGUAGCCAGUGCAGUUCCCAGUCAGCUCUAUAUCCAACAUUCUGUACUGCAGGGUGCUGUGUGGCCGCUGUGGUGGGGCACAUGGGAGACGGGAACGGAGUCCAAACACCUUUCUGCCUGUGAUGGACUUGCCGGUGUAUGGCCUGCAGAAUCAGGGAGCCUGUGUACUUUUCAACACAGAGCCAUUAAGGGUGAGAAACCAGGACCCAAUGCAGAAGACUGCCUUCUAUAUCGGCCUGUUUGUCCCUCACGGAGUGCUUAGAACACAGCAGGACCAAGGCACUGUUGCAGAACUAAAGAAUGAAUGAUUGGCUUGCUCUUCAUGGUAACAAAGAGACUUCACUCAGGCCCAGCUGAUCAAUUCAUGAGCUUUCAUGAAACACCCAUUAAUGUGGCCAAGACUUACCACAUCUACCCCGAGGGCAGGCUGGGUUUUUGAAAGAACUAUCUGCGGGUUCUUUUAAUGAAAACCAAACAUCAUAAAUCGUGCCAAGACUCACAAGCGACAGCCCCGGGGAAGAGAGGCUUCCUUUCUAAUUACCUGCAGCGAGUGAGCUAGCAAGGUUGGCUGUGGGUCCAAGUACAGACAGAUGUGUAAGUAGUAUCAGUCAUCGCAACAAACCCCAUGCUGCCACAGUGUGUCUUCCCGUGUUCUGCAAGCCAUGGGGGACAACAGGGAAACCUUCACACCAACCUGCACCCCCAGGGUCUGGUAUGCAACUUUCAGAAGAGUUAAAUAUCAGAUAUUGCUUUGAAUUGUUAUUUCUUUUGCCCCCACUGAGAACAAAACUUGCAUGCCCAAAUUACUUUUGUUUGCACAGCUCUGAAUCUCAUGGAGGACUUUGAUCACACUCCUGACACCGUGUGGAAGGAUGCCUGCCGAUACCAUUAUGCCUGCUUUUCUGGCUGGCACUGUUAUUGAUUCUUGCCAGCAGGAGCUACAGCAGGCUCGGGAUGUUGCUUUAGGAAGCAAAACUUCAUGUGAUGUUUGGUUAUUAAGAACCACUGCUGUGUGGGUCACCUGUGCUGGGCUUGGCUACUUCGUCCCUCUGAAGACAUCACGGGGGAAGAGACACAAAUUCAACACAUAAGUGCCCCUCAAAUGAUCCACUCUACUGUGUGCACUGAAGUGUAUGCCUGAGCCCUUCAUCAUGUCCAUUUACUUGGGACACAGGAUUUGUUUGGUUUAUGGAAACUUCCAGGGGAAGCAGGAGGUUAGGACCGUGCAGCAUAUGAACUCUGGGAGCGCACUGUUCAGUCUGUAGUGGAGGCAUUUGGACACUCGGACUACGGAAGGAGGGACUUACUCUGUCACAUCUCAGCUGUGUGACUUUGAUCAUGUCCUUGGACUAGUCUGGCUUGCGGAAGGUGCUCCUAUUGACCUCAAAGAAGAGAGACAUGGCUUUGUGAUUAGCAAGGUGCUCCGCCCAUGGAAAAAAAAUGCAACAUGCCUUGCAUCAUUUUUGAAUGUGAACUUAGAUGACAGCAAUGUGGAAAUGGGGUGAAAUCACCAGAAAAACAGAUUUGUUGCUGCAAUAACAUUUCUUUCAAGAAAACCUGGUCCCUAGAGGUGGGCCUGGUUGCUGACAUUUGAAUACCUCCACAUUUCCAAGGAACAGAGUUCUUUUUCCCUGCGUGACUAGAAGCUUAAAACAUUACCCUCUAAUGAACACCAGAUGGUAGAUCUGGAAUGCCUGGCCUGCAAGCCUGGCCUGGAUGCCCCUUAGCUUGCUUCACUUAUACAGUACCUGGGCCAACAACUCAGCAGACUGAACAGGAGAGAGAAGCCUAGGGUUUAACCACCCUAUAUCACAAAGUACCUGUGGCUGCCAGGCGAUGCCAAUGACAUUCUCAGCCUGUGAUGUCACAGACAAAUCUUUUAGCAGAAAUGGUUGAUGGGCCACUGAGAAGCCAAUGCUUUGGCCUGCACUGUGUCCAUUCCCUUACUUGUUUCACAUCCUGCUUUCUAGAAAUAUCUAAAGAUGUCAUAUCCCUAUUUUUUACUUUUUCCUGUGGA
Cricetulus griseus (Chinese hamster) is the source of this 4874-nucleotide non-coding RNA. Lineage: Eukaryota; Metazoa; Chordata; Mammalia; Rodentia; Cricetidae. The record is from RefSeq and is a predicted model, not a curated record.